CAAGCCUGAUGCAGCCAUGCCGCGUGUAUGAAGAAGGCCUUCGGGUUGUAAAGUACUUUCAGCGAGGAGGAAGGGGUUGUGGUUAAUAACCGCACUCAUUGACGUUACUCGCAGAAGAAGCACCGGCUAACUCCGUG
RNAcentral lists this ribosomal RNA (137 nucleotides) under uncultured Enterobacter sp. Its description in RNAcentral is "partial 16S ribosomal RNA". It matches the Rfam family "Bacterial small subunit ribosomal RNA", at positions 378 to 507 of the family's 1533-position model. The record is from RNAcentral. Lineage: Bacteria; Pseudomonadati; Pseudomonadota; Gammaproteobacteria; Enterobacterales; Enterobacteriaceae.